RNAcentral lists this ribosomal RNA (433 nucleotides) under uncultured bacterium. Its description in RNAcentral is "partial 16S ribosomal RNA". It matches the Rfam family "Bacterial small subunit ribosomal RNA", at positions 29 to 507 of the family's 1533-position model. The record is from RNAcentral.
AACGAACGCUGGCGGCAUGCCUAACACAUGCAAGUCGAACGAGACCUUCGGGUCUAGUGGCGCACGGGUGCGUAACGCGUGGGAACCUGCCCUUAGGUUCGGAAUAACUCCCCGAAAGGGGUGCUAAUACCGGAUAAUGUCUUAGGACCAAAGAUUUAUCGCCUUUGGAUGGGCCCGCGUUGGAUUAGCUAGUUGGUAGGGUAAAAGCCUACCAAGGCGACGAUCCAUAGCUGGUCUGGGAGGAUGAUCAGCCACACUGGGACUGGGACACGGCCCAGACCCCCAACGGAGGCAGAAAGUGGGAACAAUGGACAAUGGGCGAAAGACUGAUCCAGCCAUGCCGCGUGAGUGAUUAAGGCCUUAGGGUUGUAAAGCUCUUUUACCCGGGAUGAUAAUGACAGUACCGGGAGAAUAAGCGCCGGCUAACUCCGUG